GACGAACGCUGGCGGCGUGCCUAACACAUGCAAGUCGAACGGAACUGUUUUGAAAGAUUUCUUCGGAAUGAAUUUGAUUUAGUUUAGUGGCGGACGGGUGAGUAACGCAUGAGUAACCUGCCUUCAAGAGGGGAAUAACAUUCUGAAAAGAAUGCUAAUACCGCAUGACAUAUCGGAACCACAUGGUUUUGAUAUCAAAGAUUUUAUCGCUUGAAGAUGGACUCGCGUCCGAUUAGUUAGUUGGUGAGGUAACGGCUCACCAAGGCCGCGAUCGGUAGCCGGUGUGAGAGGAUGAUAAGGCACAAGGGGAAUGAGACACGGCCCAGACUCCGACGGGAGGCAGCAGGGGGGAAUAUUGGAAAAUGGGCGAAAGCCUGAUCAAGAAAUGCCGCGUGAGAGAUGAAGGCCUUAGGGUUGUAAAGCUCUUUGACACGGGAGGAGAAGGACAGGAGCGGGAGAAUAAGCUCCGGCUAACGCCGUG
RNAcentral lists this ribosomal RNA (481 nucleotides) under uncultured bacterium. RNAcentral's name for it is "partial 16S ribosomal RNA". It matches the Rfam family "Bacterial small subunit ribosomal RNA", at positions 28 to 507 of the family's 1533-position model. The record is from RNAcentral.